RNAcentral lists this ribosomal RNA (330 nucleotides) under uncultured Chloroflexota bacterium. RNAcentral describes it as "bacterial SSU rRNA". It matches the Rfam family "Bacterial small subunit ribosomal RNA", at positions 28 to 351 of the family's 1533-position model. The record is from RNAcentral. Lineage: Bacteria; Bacillati; Chloroflexota.
GAUGAACGCUGGCGGCGUGCCUAACACAUGCAAGUCGAACGGACUUGAUCUGGAUUCUUCGGAUGACGGGUCAAGUUAGUGGCGAAUGGGUGAGUAACACGUAGGUGACCUACCCCGAUGUGGGGAAUAUCCACUGGAAACGGUGGUUAAUACCCCAUGUGAUCGACGAGUCGUAUCGUUGAUUAAAGCUUCGGCGCGUCGGGAGGGGCCUGCGGCCCAUCAGGUAGUUGGUAGGGUAAAGGCCUACCAAGCCGAUGACGGGUAGCUGGUCUGAGAGGAUGGUCAGCCACACUGGAACUGAAACACGGUCCAGACUCCUACGGGAGGCUG